AUGCCAUCAAUGGCAGCCUUGGCAAAGACUAUGGUCGUGGAGUGUGUGCAGGACCCACUGAUCUGGCUGUUCCUCGCCUCCGUGGCUUUGGCCAUCCUGUGGAGACGGCGGGGCUACGGGCCGCUCCCUCCGGGUCCGAGGCGGCUGCCGAUCAUCGGUAACAUGACGCUGGUGAACCAGCUGACGCACCGCGGACUGGUGGCUCUGGCGGAGAAGUACGGCGGGCUGCUACACCUCCGCAUCGGCUGCCUCCACGUCAUCGCGGUGUCGACGCCGGAGUACGCGCGGGAGGUUCUGCAGGCGCGGGAUGGCGCCUUCUCGAACCGCCCGGCCACCACCGCCAACUUUUACCUCACCUACGGCCGCUCCGACCUGGCGUUCGCCCACAGCGGCGCCCACGUUCGCGAGAUGCGCAAGCUCUGCGCCACGAACCUCUUCAGCCGGCGGCGCGCCGAGACGUGGCUCGCCGUGCGCUACGGGUACGGGGCGCUGGCCCGCGACGUCGGCAGGCGCAGCGGCCAGGCCGUGAACCUAGGCGAGCUCAUCUUCAAGCACACCGUCGGCGUCAUCUUCCGCGCUGCCUUCAGCGCCGGCGACGAAGAACUGGACGAGUUCAUCGUCAUCCUCCGGGUGGUCUCCAAGGUCUUAGGCGAGUUCCACGUCGGCGACUACUUCCCGUGGCUCCGCUGGACGGCCCGGCUGGGCUUCAACCGCCGCCUCCACGCAGCGCGCAGCGCCCUCGACAAGUUUACCGACAAAAUAAUCGACGACCACCUGAGGAGAGGGAAGAACCCCGCCGACGCCGACUUGGUAGAUGGCCUGCUCGGUUUCCUCGCCGAGGCGAACCUAUCCAAAGGGAAGGAGAGCGAGAACGCCCUCCCCUUCACCCGCGACAACGUCAAGGCCAUGAUCAUGUCCAGUGAUGCUGUUCCUCGAUGGCGCCGCCUCCUCCCCUCCGUGGUGGUGGGUGGUGGGGGAUGGAUCUGGGAUCCCUGCCCAGAUCCGGUGGAUGGUGGGGUUGGUGUUGGUAGCGAUGGCCGGUGGCCCAGGCGUGGUGGUGGCGAGUCUCGCGGCCUCUGGGCAUCGUGGAGGUGCCGGCGGCGGUGA
RNAcentral lists this ribosomal RNA (1107 nucleotides) under Triticum aestivum (bread wheat). Its description in RNAcentral is "partial small subunit ribosomal RNA". Lineage: Eukaryota; Viridiplantae; Streptophyta; Magnoliopsida; Poales; Poaceae. The record is from RNAcentral.